Molecule: long non-coding RNA, 2787 nt
Filed under: Nicotiana tabacum (common tobacco)
Lineage: Eukaryota; Viridiplantae; Streptophyta; Magnoliopsida; Solanales; Solanaceae
Description: long non-coding RNA (NTAB_LNC004698)
Source: RNAcentral
AUUCAUUUUCCCUCCCAUAUAAAAUACACAUUAUACUCAAAGCCUAACCUAAUUUUUUAAAAGAGCUCAGCCGCACAAAGCAAGGAAGAAGGAUCCUCCUCUUCUUUAAUUUCAUUUCUCUUCUCUGCCAUAAGCUGGAUGAAAAAACCCAUGUAAACUUUGCUACAAACUCAGUAAAAAUGCAGCCAUGAAAGGCCCAAUAUCCAGCUCCUCCCUCAUGCCAUUUUCACUAUCAAAACAGCCCCAAAAUCAUCCAAAUUAGUAGCCAAAAAACUCUGCUCAACUCCAGCCUUAACUUAUCUCAAAAUCCAGCCCCAAACUCAGCAACAAUAAGCUGAAACUUACCCCAAACAAGCAACAGAACAGCAGCUCAACCGCUGCCAAUUUAAGUUCAAAAAUAGUCCGAAAAUGGACAUCAAACCCAGCUGAUUUUCCAUCAAUUUUCAGCUACAAAAAUAGUUCGUCUUCAUCACUGUUAAAACACAUUCGAGCCCGAGUUCGUCGACGAGUUUUGUUCGAACUCCGGUCACGGUUCAACUUCGGAUGAUUUGCAAUCGAAGCUCACUAUCGCACUUUUAAGUGAAACGGAGCAUUUGCUGUACCUUUGCUUUGGUGUUUUGCCAUUUUUCAAAUCUGAAAGAACUUUGCUACAUUGAAAGGUUCAAUUUUGCUUAUCUUAUUUCUAAUUGAUGCGUGACUUUAGAGUUUUAUGUGCCUGGAUACAAAUUUUCCUUGGUUUCAUGAUUAUCAAUUCCAGUUGCUGUUUAUAAUAAUAUUUAUCAUGAAUUAACUUGCUAAAAAAUAAUUUUAAAAUUUGACGCUCAAAACCAUUGAAAAAAGCAAGAGGGCGUAUGUAUUUGAGCAGGAUAUACAUGAUAUUUGUGAGCUGCUAUUUCCUAUUGACUUUGUAUGGUAUUGAAGUUUAGCCAUGAAUGUCUUUCCCUUUGUUUCGUUUCUUUUAGGUGGUUAUUUGGCAUUUUGGUUCCUCCUGUUUAGAUUGUUAUUAUCCAAAUGUUUGUUUUAAUAAGUGCUUAUACAUGUUCAAAGAUUUUUGUAAUUUUAAUUCCUCAAAUCGGUGAUUUGAGAUACCAUAACAAAUAUCCCAAGUUACAACUCUGAAAUCUAAUAAAUAAUCCCAUUUCGAAUAAUAUCACUUAAAUUUGAAAAACGACGCUUCCCUCGGGAAGGAAAAAGGAGGUGUGACAGACGCCUUCUUCUUCCUACGACCUGUGCGCUCCUUGAAUUGCUAUUGAAAUAUGAAAGAACGACUUGAUUCCCUAUGCAUUAGCUGAAGAUGUUACUUUUAAUAAUGGUCUUAUUUUACAGGAGUAUUGCUUUUUAAAUUUCCUGAUAAUUUCAUUAUAGCAACUGGAUCUUAAUGACAACUUGUCAUAGAGCUGAAGUUCAGCAAAUAUAAACAAAAACUUCAGCUGCUAGAAUGUUGAAGUUCAGCAAAUAGAGAACAAAACUUCAGCUACUAGAAUGCUUUAAGUUCAGCAAUUACAAACAAAUUUUUUAGCAAAUAGUGAACAAAACUUCAGCUACUAGAAUGCUUAAAUUCAGCAAUUACAAACAAAAACUUCAGCAAAUAGAGAACAAAACUUAAGCUACUAGAAUGCUUAAGUUCAGCAAUUACAAACAAAAACUUGCUACUUCAGGCCCGUCUACUAGAAUGCUGAAGUUUGCGUGAUUGCCUUUGCUACUUCAGACCCGUUUGCCUGAAGUUACGCGAAAAGUGGGUACACUUGUAUUUUUUUUGCAAAGCGGGUAUAAGUUAAAACGUGGUCCAAAAAGCGGGUAUAGAUGCAAAUGCUCCUUUUCAAUCUGGUAAUCUUGUUACUGGUUUGCUUAGAAAGCCCAUAAAGCCUAUAAAUCAUUUCGUCCCAGUUAUAUCAUCUCGAAAGACAAGAAUAAACCUAAAACAAAAUUCAUUCAACUCUUUCAUGGUGAAAAGCAAUAAUUGAAAUGAAAGAGAAUUAGGGUGUGGAUUCUAUUGAUGGGAGUAUGAAUACAUGUGUUUGUUCGUGAGGCACCUUGUUUUUUUGGGUAAUUCUAUGAGACCUACACGACCUAGAAAGAGGAAAAUUCACAUUAAUGAAUUAAAUCACUAGCACUUGCUUCAGACUCCCUUGUAAUCAAAUCGAGAGAAAAUAUUAUGUCUUAUUUCCAUAGCAUCACUAAUAAUUUUUUAAUUUAAAAGUCGUACUUACAUUGUAGUAGCGUCUUAUUUCCAUAACAUCACUAAUACUCCAUCUUUUACUAAAUAGAUUAUCGGAGAUCCAUAAACAAGCCUUAAUGCUUUGAUUCAUCAGUGUGUGCAGGACGGUUCAAACUCGAACUGUAAUCGAUAAUCCAAUUGUAAAAUUAGCUUACUGACUUAUUAGUAUCGGAUUAUUAGCUUAACGGUUGGUAAACAAUUUAAAAUUUAGUAGUUAACGAUUUAUUGAUUCGAGAAUGAAUUACUCAAUUUUCUUAUCGGAUAAAUCGUUAACCCGUUAAAAAUUAUUAAAUUUAUAUUUCUACCCCUAUAUAUAUAAAAUAUCUAUUAUUAACCCUAAAGGCUAAAGCCCCAUUCAUUUCUGACAAAUAUUGCGUUCUCCAACUAAUAUAUAUCUUCUUGGGUCCAAAGAAUUAGUGCACUUCCACUCAAAAUUUUAGCGUCUAGUGUCGGAAAGCAUGAUACACCUCCCAGUUACCUUGUGAUUUGGAACUUCUAAAGCAACAAAGAGACUUUUUUCUAAGAUUUUAAUAUGACAGAUUUUUCGACAAGACUUUUUUUUUUUAAAA